GUGCUUGCUUCGGCAGCACACGUGACUAAAAUUGGAACGACGCAGAGAAGACUGGCAUGGUCCCUGCGCAGGGAUGACACAUAGAUUCAUGAGAAUAGUGUCGUAACA
Lynx canadensis (Canada lynx) is the source of this 108-nucleotide small nuclear RNA. The record is from Ensembl. Lineage: Eukaryota; Metazoa; Chordata; Mammalia; Carnivora; Felidae.